This 292-nucleotide ribosomal RNA is filed under the name uncultured bacterium. Its description in RNAcentral is "partial 16S ribosomal RNA". It matches the Rfam family "Bacterial small subunit ribosomal RNA", at positions 505 to 796 of the family's 1533-position model. The record is from RNAcentral.
GUGCCAGCCGCCGCGGUAAGACGUAGGGGGCGAGCGUUGUCCGGAUUUAUUGGGCGUAAAGCGCGCGUAGGCGGUUCGUUAAGUCGGAUGUGAAAAUCCGGGGCUCAACCCCGGACCUGCAUCCGAUACUGGCGGACUGGAGGCAGGCAGGGGAGAUCGGAAUUCCUGGUGUAGCGGUGAAAUGCGCAGAUAUCAGGAGGAACACCGGUGGCGAAGGCGGAUCUCUGGGCCUGUCCUGACGCUCAGGCGCGAAAGCUAGGGGAGCAAACAGGAUUAGAAACCCUCGUAGUCC